Non-coding RNA from Puma concolor (puma), 175 nucleotides. Lineage: Eukaryota; Metazoa; Chordata; Mammalia; Carnivora; Felidae. The record is from RefSeq and is a predicted model, not a curated record.
GAGCCAAUCGCAGCCCAGGGGCGGGUACUGAGGGUAUAUAAAGCAGCUCGGCGGCGUCCUGGAUCUCUCCCGGGACGGCGAAAAAUUAGGUUUGGGGAGCCGCCCCUGGAACCGGAGCUGUCGUGUCCUCCUCUUUUAAUUUACCGUUGCCAACAAUAAAGGCCUUUCCUGCCGU